UGUCGUCAGCUCGUGUCGUGAGAUGUUGGGUUAAGUCCCGCAACGAGCGCAACCCUUAUCAUUAGUUGCUACGCAAGGGCACUCUAAUGAGACUGCCGGUGGACAAACCGGAGGAAGGUGGGGAUGACGUCAAGUCCUCAUGGCCCUUAUGGGUAGGGCUUCACACGUCAUACAAUGGUCGGUACAGAGGGUUGCCAAGCCGCGAGGCGGAGCCAAAUCCCAAAAGCCGAUCGUAGUCCGGAUUGUUCUCUGCAACUCGAGAGCAUGAAGUCGGAAUCGCUAGUAAUCGCGGAUCAGCAUGUCGCGGUGAAUACGUUCCCGGGUCUU
This 327-nucleotide ribosomal RNA is filed under the name uncultured Thiobacillus sp. Its description in RNAcentral is "bacterial SSU rRNA". It matches the Rfam family "Bacterial small subunit ribosomal RNA", at positions 1050 to 1382 of the family's 1533-position model. Lineage: Bacteria; Pseudomonadati; Pseudomonadota; Betaproteobacteria; Nitrosomonadales; Thiobacillaceae. The record is from RNAcentral.